CCUACGGGCGGCAGCAGUGGGGAAUAUUGCACAAUGGGGGAAACCCUGAUGCAGCAACGCCGCGUGAAGGAAGACGGUUUUCGGAUUGUAAACUUCUGUUCUUAGUGAAGAAUAAUGACGGUAGCUAAGGAGCAAGCCACGGCUAACUACGUGCCAGCAGCCGCGGUAAUACGUAGGUGGCAAGCGUUGUCCGGAAUUACUGGGCGUAAAGCGCUCGUAGGCGGUAUGUCAAGUCAAGGGUGAAAUCCCCGCGCUCAACGUGGGAACUGCCUUUGAAACUGGCAAACUGGAGUGUGUGAGAGGAUAGUGGAAUUCCAGGUGUAGGAGUGAAAUCCGUAGAUAUCUGGAGGAACAUCAGUGGCGAAGGCGACUAUCUGGCACAUAACUGACGCUGAGGAGCGAAAGCGUGGGUAGCAAACAGGAUUAGAUACCCCUGUAGUC
Molecule: ribosomal RNA, 441 nt
Filed under: uncultured bacterium
Lineage: Bacteria
Description: partial 16S ribosomal RNA
Rfam family: Bacterial small subunit ribosomal RNA
Source: RNAcentral